GGCGGCAGCGUUACCGCUUUGAAGCCGGCUUUUCUCAGAUCUCAAAAGCUCACCAAGGCUGGGCCUGGUCAGUAUUGUGAUGGGAGACCUCCAGAGAAAUCCAGGUUGCUGUUUCAA
RNAcentral lists this ribosomal RNA (117 nucleotides) under Lepisosteus oculatus (spotted gar). The record is from RNAcentral. Lineage: Eukaryota; Metazoa; Chordata; Actinopteri; Semionotiformes; Lepisosteidae.